Molecule: ribosomal RNA, 308 nt
Filed under: uncultured bacterium
Lineage: Bacteria
Description: bacterial SSU rRNA
Rfam family: Bacterial small subunit ribosomal RNA
Source: RNAcentral
GACGAACGCUGGCGGCGUGCUUAACACAUGCAAGUCGAGCGGUAAGGCCCUUUCGGGGGUACACGAGCGGCGAACGGGUGAGUAACACGUGGGUGACCUGCCUUUAGCUCUGGGAUAAGCCUGGGAAACUGGGUCUAAUACCGGAUAUGACUCCGCGGUGCAUGCUGUGGGGUGGAAAGCCUUGUGCGGCUGGAGAUGGGCCCGCGGCCUAUCAGCUUGGUUGGUGGGGUGAUGGCCUACCAAGGCGACGACGGUAGCCGCCUGAGAGGCGACCGGCCACACUGGGACUGAGACACGGCCCAGACUCC